AAUUCCAUAUCUUGAAAACAUGCUGAAAGAAUAAUGAUGUGACUUUGAUAUCAGUAGAAAUUCCAAUGUAGUCAAACACAACCUUGGCUUUUUGAUGAAACCUCCAAAGAACAAUCAUCUAUAAAGAUUGUGACACAGAGAAAAGGUAAAAGAAAUGCCAAAAUUAUAGGGGGGCACACCUUGUAAAUGGGAAGCAUGCCUAAAAUGUUCAGGAGAAGUUCACCCAGAGAUAGCAAUCAAUUAAGGAAAUGAGGAAGAACAGAUAAUCUCAAAAAUCUCAUCUACUUUCUUCCUAUAUUUGAAAACAUAGUUGAGCACUGUAUUUCAACUUAAAACUAUGAAAUCUAAGAGAUAAAGACAAUUAUUUGUGCAUUCACACGUGUAUUAUACUGUAGCAAGUAUAGAACACAGUCAUUGUUCAAACACUUCGCAUACAGAAGCAAAGAUAAAACAAUGAUGAGAAUUUACAUCUAGUAAUAAGUUCCUCAGUAUAAAUCAAAAAAUAAUAAGUUCCUAAGUAAAACUCAAAAAAGCAGAGGUUAUCUGAACAGAUUAUAUCUCAGCUGAUUUAUAUCAUGACAUAUUAUUACAAGAGGAGAUUGUUAAUGGCAUCAUACCUCGGGAGGGCUGAAGAUUGCUCA
RNAcentral lists this unclassified non-coding RNA (641 nucleotides) under Hevea brasiliensis (rubber tree). The record is from RNAcentral. Lineage: Eukaryota; Viridiplantae; Streptophyta; Magnoliopsida; Malpighiales; Euphorbiaceae.